Molecule: ribosomal RNA, 214 nt
Filed under: uncultured bacterium
Lineage: Bacteria
Description: partial 16S ribosomal RNA
Rfam family: Bacterial small subunit ribosomal RNA
Source: RNAcentral
UCCCAGUUCGGAUUGUAGUCUGCAACCCGACUACAUGAAGCUGGAAUCGCUAGUAAUCGCGGAUCAGAAUGCCGCGGUGAAUACGUUCCCGGGCCUUGUACACACCGCCCGUCACACCAUGGGAGCCGGUAAUACCCGAAGUCAGUAGUCCAACCUCGUGAGGACGCUGCCGAAGGUAGGAUUGGCGACUGGGGUGAAGUCGUAACAAGGUACC